This 462-nucleotide ribosomal RNA is filed under the name uncultured bacterium. Its description in RNAcentral is "partial 16S ribosomal RNA". It matches the Rfam family "Bacterial small subunit ribosomal RNA", at positions 338 to 795 of the family's 1533-position model. The record is from RNAcentral.
CCUACGGGGUGCAGCAGUGAGGAAUAUUGGUCAAUGGGCUUACGCCUGAACCAGCCAAGUCGCGUGAGGGAAGACUGCCCUAUGGGUUGUAAACCUCUUUUGUCAGGGAGCAACGCCGGCCACGUGUAGCCGGACUGAGAGUACCUGAAGAAAAAGCAUCGGCUAACUCCGUGCCAGCAUCGGCGGUAUUACGGAGAGUGCGAGCGUUAUCCGGAUUUAUUGGGUUUAAAGGGUGCGUAGGCUGUGAGGUAAGUCAGCGGUGAAAUGCCGCCGCGCAACGGGGUGAAGUGCCAUUGAUACUGCAUGGCUGGAAUGCGCAUGCCGUGGGAGGAAUGUGUGGUGUAGCGGUGAAAUGCAUAGAUAUCACACAGAACACCGAUUGCGAAGGCAUCUCACGAAUCCGCGAUUGACGCUGAUGCACGAAAGCGUGGGUAUCAAACAGGAUUAGAUACCCGUGUAGUC